Molecule: ribosomal RNA, 796 nt
Filed under: Keratinophyton indicum
Lineage: Eukaryota; Fungi; Ascomycota; Eurotiomycetes; Onygenales; Onygenaceae
Description: eukaryotic LSU rRNA
Rfam family: Eukaryotic large subunit ribosomal RNA
Source: RNAcentral
AACGGCGAGUGAAGCGGCAACAGCUCAAAUUUGAAAUCUGGCUCUCAGGGCCCGAGUUGUAAUUUGUAGAGGAUGCUUUUGGCGAGGUGCCUUCCGAGUUCCCUGGAACGGGACGCCACAGAGGGUGAGAGCCCCGUAUGGUCGGACACCGAGCCUCUGUAAAGCUCCUUCGACGAGUCGAGUAGUUUGGGAAUGCUGCUCAAAAUGGGAGGUAUAUGUCUUCUAAAGCUAAAUAUUGGCCAGAGACCGAUAGCGCACAAGUAGAGUGAUCGAAAGAUGAAAAGCACUUUGAAAAGAGGGUUAAAAAGUACGUGAAAUUGUUGAAAGGGAAGCGCCUAUGACCAGACUUGCGCCCGGUGAAUCACCCAGCGUUCUCGCUGGUGCACUUUGCCGGGCACAGGCCAGCAUCAGUUCAGCGCGGGGGAGAAAGGCUUCGGGAAUGUGGCUCCCUCGGGAGUGUUAUAGCCCGCUGCGUAAUGCCCUGCGCCGGACUGAGGUACGCGCAUUGCAAGGAUGCUGGCGUAAUGGUCAUCAGCGACCCGUCUUGAAACACGGACCAAGGAGUCGUCUUCGUAUGCGAGUGUUCGGGUGUCAAACCCCUACGCGUAAUGAAAGUGAACGCAGGUGAGAGCUUCGGCGCAUCACCGACCGAUCCUGAUGUUCUCGGAUGGAUUUGAGUAAGAGCAUACGGGGCCGGACCCGAAAGAAGGUGAACUAUGCCUGUAUAGGGUGAAGCCAGAGGAAACUCUGGUGGAGGCUCGCAGCGGUUCUGACGUGCGAAUCGAUCGUCAAAUAU